GGGGACGCGUGGGUUCGACAGGGGAGGUAGGUUACAGGAUUGCAGGCUGAGGUGCCGCUAACCUCAUAAAACCGGCGGCAAAAAUAACUGGCGAAUCUGAAUUCGCUUACGCAGCCUAAUUAAAUAGGUUGCGCGCCCGCCCAACCUCUCCUCAAUGGGUUGGGGUCGGGUGCCGAAAAUUGAGGUGCCGUCACCCGGACGUCGAUAAGGGUGGUGAAAGAAUUAUCGGCUGGCCUGGCUUUAACUCGGUCAGUAGAGGUUAGCCGGGCGAGAUUAAAGAGCUGACUAAGCCUGUAGCAUAUUCUGGGCAGCUUCUCUUGGACGGGGAGUUCGACUCUCCCCCGUCUCCACCA
This 353-nucleotide transfer-messenger RNA is filed under the name Dehalococcoidales. Its description in RNAcentral is "E44-bin88 sp011176635 Standard tmRNA". It matches the Rfam family "transfer-messenger RNA". From Rfam's summary of the family: Bacterial tmRNA, also known as 10Sa RNA or SsrA, is named for its dual tRNA and mRNA-like properties. Its role is to liberate the mRNA from a stalled ribosome. To accomplish this part of the tmRNA is used as a reading frame that ends in a translation stop signal. RNAcentral also lists the same sequence under 2 other names. Lineage: Bacteria; Bacillati; Chloroflexota; Dehalococcoidia. The record is from RNAcentral.